This 253-nucleotide ribosomal RNA is filed under the name uncultured bacterium. RNAcentral's name for it is "partial 16S ribosomal RNA". It matches the Rfam family "Bacterial small subunit ribosomal RNA", at positions 524 to 776 of the family's 1533-position model. The record is from RNAcentral.
UACGUAGGGUGCAAGCGUUGUCCGGAAUUAUUGGGCGUAAAGAGCUCGUAGGCGGUCUGUCGCGUCGGCUGUGAAAAUCCGGGGCUCAACCCCGGACUUGCAGUGGGUACGGGCAGACUAGAGUGUGGUAGGGGAGACUGGAAUUCCUGGUGUAGCGGUGAAAUGCGCAGAUAUCAGGAGGAACACCGAUGGCGAAGGCAGGUCUCUGGGCCACUACUGACGCUGAGAAGCGAAAGCAUGGGGAGCGAACAGG